UGAAUGGUGGGAGAAUGCAAAGAAUACAUAUUAUAAACAAACUCUCCGGCCCAGUGUGAUAAUGCUUGGUGGAGCAGCCGUACCUGCAGUAGGACUGGUGUCACUCACAGGUUGAUCCUGGAGCUCUACAUUGCGGUAUAAUCGAAGUCCCUAAAGGCUUCCGCAAUCUCCUUUUCCAUGGCCAAGGAACCCUCGGAGGGAGGAGUUAGAACUAGAUGUUGAUCUUUAUCCUCGGAAAGUCUAACAUCCUCAGGUAGCUCUUUAAGCAGCCGCCAGCAACGUACUCCAUCAGAAAGAAUAGAUGGUAUUCUGACUGGAACGUGGCGUGGAUAUCCACAACGAAAGGGUGGUCAGCAACGGCGAAAGCAACCCGUUUCUCUAGCAAGAUCCUGAAUAUUAAAAGCAUUCAUUGUCAGAACAAGGGACAUGGAUUUUCAGGGCAUAGGAUCUUUUGGUUGCCGC
Molecule: long non-coding RNA, 462 nt
Organism: Xenopus laevis (African clawed frog)
Lineage: Eukaryota; Metazoa; Chordata; Amphibia; Anura; Pipidae
Exons: 4
Source: RefSeq, a predicted model, not a curated record